AGAGGUUUCUAGCUCCGCCAUUUUGCUACUAAUACAUCUUUCCGUCCAUCUUUCCACCCUUUGCGAGGUUAUAUUGUAGAAAAUGUUGGGUCAAGCCUUAAGACAAGCAAGAACAGCCCUCUUUAGACGUAGAAUGACAACAGGACGAAUGCCAGAUCAUAUAGGAGAAGGCGGUCAACAAAUUUCAACAGCUCAUCAAGUAACGGCCCUUACUUGCAUUGGCCUUGCUCUUCUUGGACCUGGUGUAUUCUUAAUGUUAACACGGAAGAAACCAACGGCUGAACAUUAACUGGUAUCAAGAAUCGACAUUACAUCUGUGUGAACUCUCUAUUUCAUUGUAUUGUUGAUAUGAUCAUUUAAUCUUGACCAGAGACUUUUGUAAAGUGAUUUUUUUCUCACCAAGAAUGUGUUAUAAAAAUAAAUACUUUUACCACUGA
This is a long non-coding RNA of Exaiptasia diaphana, 437 nucleotides long. RefSeq lists it as uncharacterized. The record is from RefSeq and is a predicted model, not a curated record. The transcript is spliced from 2 exons. NCBI's taxonomy places the organism in Eukaryota, Metazoa, Cnidaria, Anthozoa, Actiniaria, Aiptasiidae.